UACGUAGGGAGCAAGCGUUGUCCGGAAUCAUUGGGCGUAAAGAGCUCGUAGGCGGUCUGUUGCGUCCGCUGUGAAAACUCGGGGCUUAACCCCGAGCCUGCAGUGGAUACGGGCAGACUAGAGGUAGGUAGGGGAGAAUGGAAUUCCCGGUGUAGCGGUGAAAUGCGCAGAUAUCGGGAGGAACACCGGUGGCGAAGGCAGGUCUCUGGGCAUUAACUGACGCUGAGGAGCGAAAGCAUGGGGAGCGAACAGG
This 253-nucleotide ribosomal RNA is filed under the name uncultured bacterium. RNAcentral describes it as "partial 16S ribosomal RNA". It matches the Rfam family "Bacterial small subunit ribosomal RNA", at positions 524 to 776 of the family's 1533-position model. The record is from RNAcentral.